RNAcentral lists this signal recognition particle RNA (254 nucleotides) under Papio anubis (olive baboon). RNAcentral's name for it is "Metazoan signal recognition particle RNA (ENSPANG00000049844.1)". It matches the Rfam family "Metazoan signal recognition particle RNA". From Rfam's summary of the family: The signal recognition particle (SRP) is a universally conserved ribonucleoprotein. It is involved in the co-translational targeting of proteins to membranes. Lineage: Eukaryota; Metazoa; Chordata; Mammalia; Primates; Cercopithecidae. The record is from Rfam by way of RNAcentral.
GCCGGGCGUGGUGGUGCAUGCCUGUAAUCCCAGCUACCUGGAAGGCUGAGGCAGGAGAAUCGCUUGAACCUGGGAGGCUGCAAUGAGCCGAGAUCGCGUCACUGCACUCCAGUCUGGGACAGAGUGAGCCUCCAUCUCAAUUAGCUAACGUAUAAAAAAAAGAGUCUCGCUCUGUCCCAGGCUGGAGUGCAGUGGUAUGAUCUCAGCUCAUUGCAGCGUCCACCUCCUGGGUUCAAGUGAUUCUCCUGCCUCAG